RNAcentral lists this transfer RNA (69 nucleotides) under Gelasimus borealis. Its description in RNAcentral is "tRNA-Asn". Lineage: Eukaryota; Metazoa; Arthropoda; Malacostraca; Decapoda; Ocypodidae. The record is from RNAcentral.
UUGAUAGAAACCAAAAUAGAGGUAUAUCACUGUUAAUGAUAAAAUUGAAUUUUUAAUUUUCCUAUCAAG